RNAcentral lists this transfer RNA (56 nucleotides) under Thelazia callipaeda (thelaziosis nematode). RNAcentral describes it as "tRNA-Cys". Lineage: Eukaryota; Metazoa; Nematoda; Chromadorea; Rhabditida; Thelaziidae. The record is from RNAcentral.
GGUCUUUAGUAUAUUUUUUUAUUUAUAAUUGCAAAUUAUAAGAUUUUUGGGCCUUA